This 496-nucleotide ribosomal RNA is filed under the name uncultured bacterium. Its description in RNAcentral is "partial 16S ribosomal RNA". It matches the Rfam family "Bacterial small subunit ribosomal RNA", at positions 29 to 507 of the family's 1533-position model. The record is from RNAcentral.
AUGAACGCUGGCGGCGUGCCUAAUACAUGCAAGUCGAGCGAACAGAUAAGGAGCUUGCUCCUUUGACGUUAGCGGCGGCCGGGUGAGUAACACGUGGGUAACCUACCUAUAAGACUGGGAUAACUUCGGGAAACCGGAGCUAAUACCGGAUAACAUUUGGAACCGCAUGGUUCUAAAGUGAAAGAUGGUUUUGCUAUCACUUAUAGAUGGACCCGCGCCGUAUUAGCUAGUUGGUAAGGUAACGGCUUACCAAGGCAACGAUACGUAGCCGACCUGAGAGGGUGAUCGGCCACACUGGAACUGAGACACGGUCCAGACUCCUACGGGAGGCAGCAGUAGGGAAUCUUCCGCAAUGGGCGAAAGCCUGACGGAGCAACGCCGCGUGAGUGAUGAAGGGUUUCGGCUCGUAAAACUCUGUUAUUAGGGAAGAACAAACGUGUAAGUAACUGUGCACGUCUUGACGGUACCUAAUCAGAAAGCCACGGCUAACUACGUG